CUCUAAUAGUCACUGCAACCUUUCUACAAUGUUGGUGGAUAAAAGUCUACAAAGUUUACCUAAACAAAAACGUCAAGCAUGGCAGGCAAAAGAUAAAAGUAUCCCCACAAGAUUAUCUCCGUUACCCUGACACAUGUGGCUUAUUUUCCCCACUCCAGGGAUGAAAAAUGAAAAUGUAAGAGAAUUCUCACUUGGAAAUUCUAACCAAAGAGUAUCCUCUCUCCUGAUUUUAACAUAACCUGUUUAACUAUCACAGUGCUCAGAUAGGGUAGCUAGCAGAAAGUGGUGUGCGAGAGAGAAGAGAAGAGACUAACAGAGACAGACAGGAGAGACAGAACAGGUGAGGUUGCAAGCUCAGCUAUCUAGCCUGUUAUGACACCAAAGACCAGAUACAUUUGUUGAAAGAAGAAAACUUGAUGACCCGGAUGUGAUUCUGGUUUUUGAAAACAAGUAGUUAAUGCAAUCCAAGCCUAGCAAAGAGGUAGAUUUGGAGAUGUGUAUGAUAUAAUGAUGUUUAUAUUGACAUAGGUAAAGAUUUGUUUAAAUUAAACUUAUUAUCUCAGACCUGACUGUUGAUCACCAAGAGUUCCUUGAGAAUCCCAAGUCCCACAUUGCCUGCUCCCACUCACUUUCUUCCCCUCCCCCAUUUUUUCAGAAGCCAGAGGAUGCCUGCUGCAUCUUGCACUGUAGUGCAAACAGAUUCCCCCAAAGAGAGAGGAAGAUAAAAUGAAUUUAAAUUCCAAAGGGGUUCCAGUGCCGGUUUCCUAGUCCCCGAGUCAGCAAUGUGUUUGUGAAAAUUCAGCCUUUUUGUCUCCCAGUAAAAAGGAGCUAAAUCUACAUCGGUGGCCCAGUCUCGGAUUGCUAUUCUUUGCAUUUUCUAUUCGAGUGAAUGAGAGUGAAUGAAGUGGCCGGGACCCUUCAUUUGAUCUACUCAAUUGCAUAAAGUGACAGAAUUCUAAUAUAUUUGUUUAAUGCUCUUCAAUGGGCUUUCACUUUUUUUGCUUGCAAAUGAAGCAUCCGUGGGCAAAGUUUCAUCCCCCUUUAACACUGGGACAUAUUUCAUAACUGAGGCUGUGGUUUGCAGUAAUCUUGAGAGGAGUUUUAGACUCAAAAAGUGGAAAAUAAAGAAACAGAUGUGAAGUUAUUGUAAAUUCCUAGAGUGGGCUCUGGGGCUAUUGUGCCUCCACGGCGGGCGGUCCAGGGGCUGCGCCUUUCAUGCUGUAAUUGAAACAUAUUAAUUAGAUAAUUUGUUGUUAGUUUAAACGAAACAAAUGCAUCCCCUUUGAGGCUUCACAGCCGGUGGGUUGGGUGGUUUUUGUUUUGUUUUUGUUUGGGUGUCUCUGUGCAUAUGUGGCUUUUAGGAGAAAAAAAUUAAUUGACAUUUAUAUUAAGAAUUUAAGAAUAGAUCCUGAUCCUUUCUGUUUCUUAGCUGAAUACCUUUUACAAAGGGAAUUUUCAUUUGUAAAAGUAUAAACCCGCUCCUCACCCCUACACUCUGCAACCCCCCAGUUCCCCCAGUCUUGCAUAAACGAAUGUAAAUCUUACUCUCUGCAGCACCGGCUUGGACUCUUCCUCCCUCCUACUUCCCACCUCAUCCUUCUUGAGCACCUGGCCAUAUUUAUGCUUGCAAGACCCUCAGUGUUCUCAUCUCUUUAAAGGAAUUAAACUCACUGCUAUAGUAUUUAGGCCAUUUUGAUGAUCAUUUACUAGCACCACUCCUCAGGCUUUUCAAAACCCCCAAAUCAGAUAAUAGAAACAGUGAGAAUUUCUGCAGCUUCUCUCUUGAGAAAGUGCAUGAAAUUCAUUCAUUGUGUCAGCGCUUCCUCAAAUCACAGAGAAUCCUGUUUAAAAACUCAGUCAAAUGCAGAAUCAUGUAAAAAACCAAAAGUAAUAGAAUAGCCAAGUUUCCAAAUAAAAAACCCGAAAUCUAAGAAAUCAAUACUACUUGAAUUUACAAAAUAGAAAAGAAUAUCACUUAUCUCAGUUCUCAGGACAAAUACCACACAGACAUCUUCCCACUCCAUGGUGUUGUCUCUUCCAGUUUUAUUUUAAAGCUGUGUGUAUUGACUUUGGACUUGAGCCAGGUGAAAAGAUUUAACAUGACAAAGAGAGCCAUUGAAGGUAUCAUAGUUAUAAACUUCCUUAUUUGUGGGGCACUUCAGCUAAACAGGGCAUAAGUCUCAAAGCUGGGGGGUGAGGCGGGGAUGGAGUGGGGUGGAGGCAUGUGUGUUUGGACUGCCUUUGGAUUUCUGAUCAAGGUCAAAAUAUCAUCAAUGGAUUUUUUUUUUUACUUUACUCAUUCAACUUUGUCUGAGAAAAGAUGCCUGCAUUUGUGAAAGGAGGGCUCACAAUGCCCAAGUUAUUUCAUUCUUUGCAAUACACCAUGACGAACUUACCAGCUGAAAAGAGCAUUUUCAAAUACUGAGUUGAAAUCUCUCCUUUGCUAAAAAUCAGAAAUAGGAUCUGUAUCUUAUUUACCUCUAGGUAUUAAAUGUGCAGAUGUACACAUCACUCAUCUCUGAAUUCUAGUGCCUGUUGUAAGAGGAACAUUUAUUUAAGCUGAUGAUUUAUAAAAUGUUUGAGGCCCGUGUUAGCCCUCUAUACUUCUUUCAUCCCCAGCUUGAAUUCAGUGUUACCAAAUUCGAUGAGAUUAGCAUAUUCCAGAGAUGGCCUUAAUUUUCUUUUGCAGGAAACUGUGAAAACAUAUUUAAUUUUUUUUAAAAAAAUGUAUAUGAUUUCUUGUUGAGAACAAAGUUUUAAGAGUUUCCUAGCCCAGGGCGGUUAAGUUUUCCAGGCUUUCUUUAGCUGAUCUUGUUGAUAUAAUUGUGAAUUGGGCUUGAUGAAUGAGUUUAGUUGUCCCCUGUCUGACGAGCUUUAGUAGCUUCAUGCAUUUUAAUCAGUCCAAUGAUUCAUUUAUUUUCCACUUUUUUUUUUUUUGGCUGUGUGUGGGAUCCUUCUUUUUAAAAAAUGGUCAGAACAGGAUUAAUUACCCUUUGCAUUAAUCCUAAGUUGUUUUUCAGGUAGUCCUCUAAAUAUAUAAUGGUUGCAGGUGCUAAGGAUCCUCCUAUGAAGUACAGUGAUUGUGGUUUCUAUGUGGCUCCCUCUGUGUUGCACAAGGGUCUCUUGUUUAAUCAUUUUACACAGUAAAGUGUUAAUCACCAUUUAAGUUACUCUUUGCCUUGUAACUUCAUUAGGUGAAUACACAUCUCAUUCUGGAAAUAUUGUGACCCUUUCAAUAAAGUGUCAGUUAGCCUUGCGCCAUAAAUUCUCGGCAAAUUUUAAUUCUCUGCAAAAAUAUGAAGAAAAGCAAGUACUUAAAGUCAGGCAUUUGAAGUAACUUCAUUCAUAUCUUUAAAAUAAGUGCAUCAAGCAUUAUCUUCUCAGAGGAAGGAGUGAAAGAAAUCUGUUCAGUUCAAAGUGAACAGGUAUCUGGACAUGAAGGUGAACCUCUAGGUAAUUUCUAUUUAAAAAAUUUUAACAACCGCAAUAAUUUAAAGGAGCAAGGAACUGAAUACUCACACUAAAUAAGAUGCAUCAGAAUAUAAGCAUUGAGUAAGCAAGUCUGUUUUUACUUUUUAAGUCUCCAUAUUUUCUACCUGAUUUCUACAUAAGCCUUAUAUUUAUAAGUGCUAUAUUUCAUAAAAUGUAUAUUUCAAUAAAGACAAAAAUACAUAUAAAAUACUUAUUGUUUCAAAAACAGGUUUUCUUUCACCACUGCACCUGUGCACCUGAUCUUUAAUAGAAAUAGUCUGUUUCCUUUUUCCCUAUACACAAAUACCUUCAAAAUUCUAUCUGAAUAAUUUCUCCCACAAUCUCCAAGUGCAUAAGAGGAGGUUUGACUGUUUUCACAAUAUGAUAUGAAAAAGGCAAAUUACUCAGUGUAUUGCAGAAAGCAUGUUUAGGGAAGCAUUACAUCCAUCUUUUGCAAAAUUAUUUGUAGCAACUCUUCAAAAACACACAAAACUAAAAUUUGAAUUUACAUAUUUUAAUGAGAAAAUAUUAUUUGGACUAGGUCAUAAUUUAAUGUAGACACCCUUUUUUUUUAAAUCCUUUGUUUUAAAACAGGCAUGCUGGGAACAAGAACAUCAAUAUUUAAAAUGCCACGCUAAUUCUGUACAGGGAGGGAAAAUGAAAGGUAAAAAUUUUACAGCUCUGAUGACACUACAACUUUUUUUUUUUUUAACUUAAGCAGGUCACACCAGAACAACAGUUCGUUUUCCAGCCAAUUAUCUAAGAUUCUAAAGGAAUACAGCAAACAAAAGUGCAUUUUACACAGUGUAUAAUCAUUCCUAUUCACAAGUAUUUACAUCUCUUUGCAGCCCUUUAGCUUCUUGGAAAAGUUCUGGUAGCAAACAGAAAGACUUGUCCGUGGGAGAGCUAUCCGGUGACAUCCCUUCAUGUUACCAGUCAGCUUAUCUAAGUUCUUCCCGGGUUGCCCUUGAUGCUUUCUUGGUUUGGGCUUAUUUCAUUUUCUUUCCUUCUUUUUUUUUUUUUUUUUUCCCAACAAUAAAAUAAAUAGCUAAAAAGGUCUCUAAGUCAUCGGAAAGUUAACAUCCCAAUUAACUUUCCCAUCCCCACUUCCCUCCCUUUCUAAACCUGGCCAGAAAUGAAGAGUAAACAUUCACAUUACAACAGGUACUUAUAAUGUGGGCUUUGCCCGUUCGUCCGCCUAGCAAGACAGAUUCAAGUUCACUGUUUACAUAUUACUGGGCGCUUUGUAAACAAUACAAGGUUACUUUUAGUUUUGUUUUGCUGUGUGAGGACGAGCGUCGCUUUCUCAGCUUGGCAGCCUCUUUCCUAACUCCCAGCGCCUGGAGCCUCUGGAAGGAAACAAAACCCCAAACAACAACAAAAUCUCCGCAGAAGCCUAGGAGGCAGGGCCGCAACCCCGGGAAGCUGUGGUCGGCCCAGCCCCUGCCGGAUGGGCGGAGGCGAGUGGGGUAGGAAGAUUAGUGGCUCCUUUUUGCUGCAGAUUUCCAAGACGUAAAGAGAUCCGGCCCUCCCCUGCGCUGUUGCAGCCCUCGCGGGGAGGGGGUGUGGGGGGGAUCUGUUCCUGGAAACAUCUGAGGCAGUUUCUCUAGUCUUGAAACUGCGCAGAGUUCGGGGCUCCGCCGAUCUGGGCGGAGGGAAGACGCGCUUUUCUCGGCGAAGAGGGGGUGACAGGGUUUCCCCCGCCGGUCAAAUAGGAGGGGGUUUCGGGGCCUCAGGGAGGGGAUGGUUCGGCUCAGGUGGCCCCGGCCUUCCUUGAUGUGGGGGCGAGGACAACUCCCACGCGCCUCUCGGCCCAUCUGCAAGUUUGUGUUUGGUCUCCUGGGUCCAAAACAAAGUUCUCUUGGGGCAAGGCGGGUUGGCCGAAGGUGAAAUGAACAAGUUAGGGUGGCGGUCCCAGGUGGGGGCCGGCAGGACUGGGAGCCAGGGAAGGCGAGUGAGGUGGUGGGGAGGAGAACGAGAGGGGGCGUGGGCUCCUGCGGGUCAGUGCACCGCCACCGAGUGCAAGGCGGAGGCCGGGCUGGUGAGCGUUUCGCUGGGGGUGGCGGGGCUGCUUUGGCUGGUGGCUGUUUGCGAGGACGUGGGGCUGAGCGAGGGCGGCGAGUUCGAGAGCAAGGUGGGGAUGGGCGCUGGCAGCGCAGGCAGCGCGGGCACGGCGGCCGGCGUGGGCUUAAUGGGCACGGGGAUGGCGGGCAGCGUUUGGCCCGCCGCGUGGCACAGCGGCUUCAACGGCACGCCGUAGGCGCUGUAGUCGCCACUCGCCAUGGAGAUGGGGGUGGCCGAGUCGAUCAUGCCGGCGGAGCCAUACACGUGUGGCCAGCCGGUGCCCAGCGAGCUGCCCAUGGUAGUCAACUGGUUGGGGAGCGGGUAGGCAGCGGGCACCGGCUGCAUGGCGGAGAAGGCCAGCCCCCCAGGCAUCUUGUAUUCCCGCGCGAUGAUGUUCUCGAUGGCGAAGGGGUGCUUGAAGCCCGAGGGCUGCGCCACGCCGCCCAAGUUGUAGGCGGCGGCGGGCAUCUGUGGCAGGUGCGUGCCCGAGGCCGCCAGCGCGCUGAGCCGCAGCUUGGCCUGCUGCUGCAGGUACUGCGCCGCGUCGGCUGGCUUGCUGGGCGCCAGGUGGUCGGACUUAAGCACCUUGAAGCGCUUGCGGCGCCGCAGGAAGCUGCCGUUCUCGAACAUGUCCCCGCAGCUUGGGUGCAGCGCCCAGAAGCUGCCCUUGCCUGGCUGGUCCGGCCGCCGCGGGAUCUUGAUGAAGCAGUCGUUGAAGGAGAGGUUGUGGCGCAGACUGUUCUGCCAGCGCUGCGUGUUCUCCCUGUAGUAGGGGAAGCGGUCCAUGAUGAACUUGUAGAUCUCGCUCAGCGGCAGCAUCUUCUCGGGAGAGCUCUGGAUGGCCAUAGCGGUCAGCGAGAUGUACGAGUAGGGCGGCUUCUGGUCGCUGUACGUGUUGCGGCCGGGCCGAGGCAUCUUCUUCCUCGCCCUCUUCUUGCUCUGGGUCCGCGCGGGCCGGCGGACUGCUCGGAUCUGGGAAGGGGGUGGGUAAUAGGGAAAGGUAGCAUGGAUGCACAGAGACACCGGCGGGGUCAGCCAGACCGAGUAACAGACUUCGGGGGUCGGGGGUGGGGCCUGCGGCGCUCGAUCAGCCAGCGCCCGGACUCUUUCGCCAGCAACUUUGCGGGCUUAGUGGGCGCGGGAGGGGAAGCCGGCGAACGGCGCGAGGAUAGCCGGGAAGUAAGUCGGUACUGGGGCCAGAAUAGGGGGCAGGGACGGAACAGAGAGCUGCUCACCUUAAAGUUGCUUCAAGUUGCGCGUCCGCAUCCGGGAGGACGCCGCUGCGCGCCGCUUCUCUCUCGGCGCGCACUCGACGCGCACUCCGCGCGCAGCGUCCGGGUCCGGUUGGACUCGGCGCGAACCUGGGCUCUUGAGCUCAGCCCCGCAGCGUCCCGUGCCGCCCGGUCCGCGACGCUCCUGGAGCGUCCUGCGGGCGGCCGAGCUCGGCUGCGGAGUCCCGGCGCGGAUGGUGGCAGCGACGUGUUAGGGCUCCGGAGGGCGCUGCUGUGGGCUCCGCGUCUCCGCUGAGCUAGGUGGCUGCCUCCAUGUCCUCCCUCGAACCAUCUGAUAGUUUUAAGCGGUGACAGGAGCAGAAAAGACCCCUGUAGCGGCGCUUCAUUAAUGUGCCACUUCUUAGCUAUCAUAUGACAAUCGCCUUGGGAGGAGGAGGAAGAGGAGGGGGAGCGGGGGCUGCAGAGGGAGGGGACUGAGCGAGAAGGGAGAGCCCGGCCAGCUCUGGUUUCUUUCACACCUAUUUACAUGGACACCUUGGCCAAUAGGAAUCACUUCCAGCUCAAGACUGGGCGAGGGGGAAGAGCCUCGGCCACUGGGCAGGCAGCUGGACGCGCCGGCCGGUGUGCGCCGUGUGAAGGUAUGAGGAAGCGGCCGCCGCGGAAGAGGGAGCCAGGCGACCACUCACGUUCACAGAUGGAGCAGCCGCGCGGAUGAUGUUUGACAUGGAAAUUGCUUGGCUGGGGUAUUCUGUUUCCUCUGCGUUGUAUCCGGUUUGUAUCGUUAGGUAACUUUAGGCACGGCUUUCCCCUGAAGCCGACCCUUUUCCUGCGCUUAGCACUACCCGGGGUUGGUUGCAUGGGUUAUAAUAAUGAAAACACACCCUUGCCCCCCAGUCCCCGGAGAGUUAGGUCGAAAUUUGACUUGACUUUCCUAUGCAGCUGCUUCAGCUUUGUAUAGUUAGUGUGUAGCUUUGAAAAAGUGAUGGGGUUUACAAAUACUUUCAAAAUGUGAUUGGACAUCCCCAUGUAAGAACCCAUUUUGAAUGUAACUGUAUUGACCAAAUUUUUAAAAAUUAAAAUAGUGUAUCUGGGCGAAGAGUCCAGGUAUUUGCUUUAAAAGUCCUCCGGGAAUUUGGUUGGACACAGGAUGGAGGCUCAGGAGCUGUUGGGGCAAAUGUUGUGCGGACCUGGGGAGGGCCUGAGUUUGUUUGACACAGUUUAUCACCAGGUAAGCCUCAGGGGCUCUCGCUUUUCCCAGGUGGUUUGAAACUUUAGGACUCAGGCACAUCCUGGAAGUUUUCAUUUUACACCCGGAACUCCCCUUCCCAGCCCUCCCACCCCCCCAACCUCCCACCCCCCAUCCCCCAACUGCCGCUUUUUUUGGUAUGGAGAACUUAUUUAGGAUUUAGAGUGUAGCAAAAGCCGCCUGCGAUCCCACUAAGACAGCAGUAUCUUCUACAACUUGGGGAAAGAACCAUAGAGUUUUCCUUCUUGGGGAGCGGGGAAUGUGCCUUGGGUCACUCCGCCUGGUGCGAGCAGCAGGCUCCCUUCGGUUCGGAUUCGCCUUGGAAGGGUUAAAUGAAUCAUUAUUAUUAUUAUCAUUAUCCUCAUCGUCGUCGCUGCCGUCAUCAUCAUCAUCAUCAAAUUGCUAUGAAAUAAAUAGUGAGUCGACCCCGCCUGCAUGCACGCACUCUAUAAGUACACACCAGGAGUUCCCACGGGUUUCUGCACAUUCUCCGACCUUUAAGGUUUUUAAAAGACAUUCAUUUUACUGCGUUGUUAAAAACUCAAUACUUACAGCCCACACAGAAUCAUCUUCAAAGUCCAGAAAUGGGAGAACUUUUUUUUUCCCUAGACGUGGUGAUCGUAGAGAAUUCUGGGUGUUAAGUUUCAACACUUUAAGUGAUAUUAGAGCAUUAUUAGUGGAGCUGUUUGGGGUUAGCAUAAAAAAGAUCUUUCAGCGCGCGAAUGCACACACACACAAACACACACACACACAACUUCAUUAACUACAGUUUCGGAGGCGGUCAAUAACUCACCAAAACGUAACUUAAACACGAUGAAUUUAGGAGAUUAAACAAUUUCAUUAAUAUUGAAAUGGCUCUGGCUCUGGGCUGCCUCGGUUGAGAUGCAAGCGCACGUUUUUCAAUAUUAACAGAAGUGCUUGAAGAAAAGAAUAAUGUCACCUUCUUAAUUCGGAAAAAAUAACUGGGAGGAGGAGAUGGGUGCGAGGGGCUGGGGGAGGGAUGUUGACCUGUCUCUGGGGGUAUGGCUCGAGAAGGGCAGAUAAAUGUAUUGCCCUUCUCAGCAGAUAAACCACUUGGACUCGGGUGGAACCUCUGCCAAGCUUUGGCCGGAGGCAGCCGUACUCAUCCCAGCUACUCGCGCUUCAGGUCAUAACGAGGUGCGGCGUUUGGGGGGUUACUUUGUGCGGCCAGAUUCGGAUCGAAGGUCCUGGGGAGGAAGGAGCUGGGGAGUCCAAAGAGCUGGGGAGCUUGGGAGAUCCGUGAUGAGGAAUAGUGGGCAAGGCUUGUGUUUCCCAGAAUGGAAAGGCGCUGGUCCACAGCUUUCCUGCUCCCGAGUACAGCUGGCCUCGGUACAAAACAGUUACUGUGGGCAAGGCAGGAGCGCUCCUGCUGUGGAAGGGUACCAGCAUAGACUCCCCCAGGAAUUUUUAGGAUCCUCUUAGUAAAUAUGUGCAUCCGUUCAUACUGAUACGUAGACCGAUAAAAUAUCGUGGGCGGCUGGAAUUGGGAUGUAGAUAGGAGUGAAAGCUCUGCUCCGUUCCCCCAGUGACAGCCAGGAAGAUUCUUUUCUAACCGGCAUGGGUGCGUGUUGAGGGUGGGGAAUAAGGAGAGAGAAGUGUUUUCUUAUUUUAACAAUUGGCAUUUUGUUGCCCUGCAAAGAGGCCAUUGUAUGCCUGUCGAAAUCAUUGCUCAGAGUAAACAGGAGAUUAACUAAAUUCUAAGAGUAAAAACGUUCGGGUUAAAAAAAAAAGUCUGAAGUUGGAAUAAAUCUUUGUCUAUCUCCCCGGGAAAGUUGUCACCCCCAAGUUUGGAACAUGCGAGGAUACAAGUAGGAAUUUGUGUCUGAUGAAUCUUUAAAGUUUGGCUAGUGUGGAGAUAGGAGUUUGACGCAUAUUGCACACGACCAGGGUUACUUAAGUAAACCGAACCCAGUAGCACAAGUUUGCCUUGGAUGAGGAGAGAAGUUGUGAGAAACACAUUUAAAACUUGGGCUUUGCUACAAAGUUUUAUCUUGGUUCUGCUGGAGGUCUACAAAGCCCAGGGCGGGGAGGGAGGAUUUGCAUGUUAUUGACAGCAUUUUAAGACUGGUAUUACGAAAAGGAGGAGGGAAGGAGCACUUUCCAGAAAUCUUGAAAAGUGCAUCAGAGUCUAUUGUGCAGAACCCAAAGCAAACACGGGGUGGGGGUGGGGGGGGAGGCACAUCCGACCCGGUGGCUUAGGGAGUUGUUGGGAAAACUGUAUAAAAUACACAUAAGUCAAUUAUACCCAUGUGCAAACCAAAUGGAAAUCUCUUUCGUGCAAUAGCCAUUCAUCGCCUCCGCAGAGCCCACCACCGACCACCUUUCUGCUUGGAGAGUUCGCAAUAGCCUCUUUUCCCACAAGCUGGACCACACACGGCUACAGAUUUCGUAAUAAUUUAUGCUAAUUUCCCUCCAUAAAUCCACAAUUCGCUUCAGUGGCACCCGGGUUGCUGAGGGAGUAAAAAGGAGACAGAGGGGUGACAAAUACAAUAUUGAUUUUGAUUCCUUCUGUUGUCAAGCAGGUGUGUGUGUGCGUGAAGGGUGGAGCUGGGGCUUUGGGGGCGGGGGCUCCAGGAGAGGAAAUCUGUCCCUAGUCUCUGCCAGCCCCUCCAUGCACACUCCAGAAAAUAACGCGCCCUGGUUUGUUAAUAUUUACCAAACAUAGACGGGAGGCGGAGGGAAAGUACCCGGCAGCUUCCGAAGGUUUCCUAGGUGCCAAAAACAAUACCCGUCGUCCCCACUUGGAAAAUGAACUCUGCGCUGCCUGGAGCGUUUCGGCUAAGCCUUCCUUUGCCCGGUCCUCUUCUUUCUCCCUGAGUCUCCCUGAACUCCUCUCCGCUUCCUCAGUCUGAGUCUCUCCCUCCCUCUCCUUCUUUCCCCUCUCCUACAGCACUCCGGUCCUUCACUCCUCUUGACUACACUUUUCUCCUCUCCCUUCUGCUUUUUGCAUCUCCUUUACCAAAUUGACAGUGAAAUGUGCUGAGGGAGAGGGUCGAAGGCUGGUGCGCCGUCGAUAUCAGGUUUUAGGGCCUUGCGAGUCUCCCCUGCCCCGCCCCACCUCUCCAGGCCGCCUCCCGCAUUUGCCCCAGUGCUGCGCUCGCUCUGGGAACCCGCGCUAACGCAUCGCGCCUCUUUGUCCCAUCAGUCAUUCUUCAAAUCUGCACUUUGGUGGCGUGAAACGACUUAGCCUCCCUUUCAAAAGGAUUUCGUUCCUGGGGUAUUCAGCACUAAAACAAACUCCCUCAGCCUGUCAGUGGUCAAUUAAAAAAAUGGCCAUCCCGAGUGUCCUGGGGGCUGUUUGUCCUCGGAGUCUGUGCGCCUCCCCCACCAGCCCCCCAGCACCGCAAGGCCUGGCUUUAACGUGCUGGAUUUCGGGACCAGAGGGAACUAGCUCAGAAAGUUCUCCUUUCCCGGGGUCACCGGACAACAUCGACUUGCAGGUUUGGGUUUUGGGGGCGGGUGGGGGGCAGAGACGAGCACCCGGCGCAUGUCAGGGGAAACGUAUCCGCUACGACUCUCCCACGACUGCCUUUGGAGUUUGAGCCCGCUCUUCCAGGCCACUCCGACUGAGUCUGGCGGGAAAUCAAACUGCCCAAGGGAGAGAGGCGGGGGAGGGGACACACUUUCCGCUCUGGUGCCAACUGCCGACGGGCAGUGAAAGGACUCCGUACCCACCCACACCCCCUACCCCCGCCAGCGACCCCUGCACUGUGGUGCCACAGGAGCAUACUUUUUCCAACUAGUGGGGAAGAAUGUCUGCCGGGGAACUUUGGAGCCAGCUAUUUCAUCCGUUGGUGACUGGGCUACAAGGGGACCUUAACUCAUCACAGACAGGAAAAAACAAAACAAAAAACAAAAACAAAACAAAAAACAUUUGACAAGUAGUAUAUUGGCCAUAAUCAGAUCUCCCCUCCGGGCUCAAUCUUGUGGGGUUCUAAGACAAGAGUCUCCACUUCCUGUUCACCCUUUACUCCCAUCCAAACUGGGGGGCUCAACUUCAAGGGUGUCAGUUUUUUAGUCCCCACCAGCAUAACUUGUCCAGCGGUGAAUAGGGCCUCUGGCUGUGGCUGGGGCACCUAGAGUUAAAUCUGUGUUUUGCUUGGGAGUGAGGUAAAGGGAGGCAACACCCCACACAUUUUAAUAGUAUAUCCCAAGCAGCUGCUGCGGUUUGGAGAGCGUGGAAGGCCCAGUUUCCCCUCUACCUCAAGCAUAAAAUAAAGAGUAGCCAGAGUUAGGUGCUGGUGCAGCUUGAUCCCCAUCCCCAAGAGGUGCCACCCGCUCUCCUCUUCCCCCUCCCCCAUCAUGGUGAGCAAGCAAUUUCAAUGCCUGAGAAAACAACUCUCCCUGCUCAGCACAAUGCCUUCUCUUUGGAAUUGGUUUGCUAAAUACCAUUUGAUGUUUGCUUGGCUGUGAUUUGUUCUGAGACUUCAAGGCUUUAAAAUCUUUGUUUCCAAAUCAAAUCCCUCCUUUGCACAAACAGUUGCAUAGCUUUAAAUUGGGCAUUACCAUGCUCACAAAUGUAUUUGUUUAAAAAGUUAUUUGCAAAAGGGUGGUGGAAGGCUUUUUGUGUUGUUGCUAAACCCUCCCCAUAAGUUUUGCUCUGUACUGUGUGAAAUAGAAGAAGCAAUUCAAAUCUAUUAUUAUUAUUGGAGGAAAUAUUGCUAAAGCCACCUUGGUAUUGAAGGGAUUAACUUGCUUUUCUCCCAGCCCCUAACUCUGGGGUUAAGACAGCAGUAGAUCAACUGUAUAAUGUGUGCACUGUUCGCUCAUUUGUACAAGCAGAACAAAGGUUGGACUAAGCCAAAUUGCAUUGCACUUGUGAACCGAGUCCCGAUGUGAAGUAUCUUUUACAGCGGGGGGAAUGAGAACAAUUUCGUGUAUGUCUAAAAGGGAAUAACAAAGCCACUUUCUCGAGCAUCUCAAAGUGAAGUAGCGAGGCGUGACAUUCCCAGGGUGAGAAGGGACAAAAGCAGGGUCAGGGAGAUGAAAAAGAGAAUCAAACAGCCACUUUCACAUGUCUGCCCUCAACUGCUGCACCUCUCCAUAAUAGGAAACAAAUGUUGUAAAAGGGGGGAUUGCUCCCAUUCAUUCAAAAUAGCAAAUGAUAGCUAAACAACAUUGUCAAAACUGAAUCAACUUCUGUGCAGUACCACCCAGAAAAAGGUAUUGUGUUUUGUUUAAUAGCGGGGUGGAGCAAAGGGUUUUUUUUUUUAAAGUGGGGAGGGAGGGAGAGAAAAAUCAUCCUAUACUGUUCAUAUUAAUUUUCUUUGUCAAAAAUUAUUGGUUUGCUGAGUUUUUUAAAAAAUCAGUAUUUCUGGCUGGGCACCCACUCUUAAAUGUUAUUUUUGGGGGAGGAAUUUUGGAAAAGCUGCAACAGGAAAGUGAUUUUUAGCUUUAUAAAGUGUUUUAAAGCUUCCAAUAAGUGGGAAAAACGGGUUUAAGCUCCUUCAAAUGUAGGAUCUGGGAAAAAUAAGUUACUGAUUGAAUAGAUUCAGGUAAAUCCCGGACAGUAGGCUAAAAUGUGCUUUGCUAAUAAAUUGGAAUAAAAUCGAUGGGGGGGGGCAACUGCAGAUAUGUGAAAUGAAGAAUAUUUUGCAUCUAUAAUAUAUAUUUUUUUGGUGGAUCCCUCUGCUUUAAUUUGUUUUGAAACCGGAUAACCUAUAGAUCUUCAGCCUUAAAACCCUGCGCUUCUGCUUUGUUUGUUCAGGCUGACCAGGGAGGAGAGCUUAACCAGGGUGAACGUGUGUAGUAUGUGUUUUCUUAAUGGCAGAAGCAGGUCCCUCUCUCCCUUUCUCCUUCUCUCCCCCUCUCUCUCUGCUUUUUGUUUUCUUGUCUCCAUGCGUCCCCCGCUGAGUUGCCACCCACAAAGCGGGUUUGAAAAAGAAAGAGAGAAAAGAAAGAAAGCGGCUGAUCCGUGCUGGCCUCCCCCAGCUAAGAAUGGCUAGGGGGCGGGGCUUGGCGGGGCCUGCAGCGCAGCCAGGCGCUCGCCGCCCCUCCGCGGCAGAGUCCUUCCGCUCAUUUCGUGCUCACCUGGGACUAGCGCGCCGCUUCGUGGGUCCUAGCGCGCGGUGCCAACCCCAGCGCGGUGCAAACCCCCCCGCGGUGCACUCUGGCCCUCCUCGCGGCCGGCCUCUGCUUUGGGCGCUCUAGCAGCGCGGGGGCUGUUGGCUGACUCUUGGUGGGUUGCAGUUAACUGACACAGCUUGUCAGCAGGGGAAAACCAGGUUGCCCCAAGGACUUACCGACGCCCCAGAAAUAGACUCCUGCCCCCUGCGUUCCUUUCCCCCAUUUUCUCCCUCCCUCUCCCCACCCCUUCUCAUUCCCGCUAACCUUUUCCCCUCUACCCUCCUUCUCUCGCCUUUUUUCUCAGCCUACAGUUUCAAUUCCAGCACAGGUAUGAACACCAGAUUUUAGGUCAGCAAACUGACUCGAGGCAUUCCCAGUAGCGCAAACUUUCCGGGAUUGGCAGGGCAUUUUCUUCUGUGCUCAGCUGGCCUAACCAAAAUAAAGGAGCUAAAGAAGGGAGGGAGGAAGAGAAGAGAGAAGCAGAAAACAGCCCCAGCAUCCCCCCCUGCAGCGCAUCCUGGCACACCUCCGCGGCGUAGCGGUAGGCUACAUCAGGUGGUUGGCGAGUGGGGUAAAUCAUUAACCCGAUCUUCAGAGGAUCGGCGAGGUUUUUCGAAAACUUUGCCACUUAGAGUUGCGGCUGACGUCGUUCACUGGCCCGACGCAAGAGACCUUAGUUGGCACCCGCCCCCGCAUUUAGUUUUACUUAAUAUUUUUACUGGGAAAGAAUCUUGUAAAUAUAUUUAUAUACAAUAUUUAUGUACUUAAAAUAACCAUUAAGUCUGCACUGCCACUUUUCUCUUAAAGUGUCACCUCAUCUCCAUCUUUUGGAUAAAUCUAGAACCACGAAGGAUUUAAUAAUUCCAAGAAGGCUGAUCCAGCAAGUGAUUUUCUUUGGAGCGGAUAACCAUUUGUUCAUAGCCAUAGCGAUUUGAUUGGUGGAGCCGGUGGCCUCCCUUAGCCAAGGUAGGCUGUCUUUUCUUCCCUCGCCGGCAGUAAAGGAAACCUUCUCGUCACUUACUUCACCCCUGAAAGCAGUUUGGGUUCACAGUCUUUAAGGAACACUCCGGAAUACCAGGAGUUUGGGGAGGAUAUUGAUCUUUCCGUUCCGCCCAUCCAUCCUCUUUUUACCGAUUUUUUUUUAAUUGCAAAGAAAAAAAAAAGCUACACACAAACGAGAUAAAGUAGAUGAACCAUAGUGAGACAGUUGCUUCUUUUUCUUCAAGUCUUUUAUCGCUUCCCAAAAGGACAGAGGGAACUGUGGGCCUCGUAGGUUUCCCAGAUUUUCCAUAGUUGUUAGGAACUUAGGUUUUCCUUCGCGUCCGCUUCCCCGCGACCUGUUGAUGACUCCGAGUGGCGGAGCACGAAGCUGUGCGUUGAAGUUGGUUAUGUAAACUGCUUGUGUAUUUCACAUUAUCAUCGCGCUGUCUGGAGGCAAUGUAGAUUUUCUAAAGAUCUAAUGAAUAAACAACCAGCAACUGCUGGCGGUGUAAUUUACAUUGUUAAUUCCUACAUGUGUAUAAUAAAUAUGCAUUUGUAUGCCUUCAAAUAAACUCUUUUCAGUUUCUAACCUGUGGUGAUUUUUUUCCCCCCAAAAAGAAGGGGGUGGGGGACUUGUGUUUCCAAGGGAGGAGAGUUUAUUUCUCUUGCAUUAUCUGGUAAAAAUGGCUGUGAUGUGGAGCCCAGAUGUAGGGUCCGCAGCCUCGAUGCUGUGCUUUCUACCUGCCGAGGUAAGCUGGGCUGGAAUGCUCCCCGGCACGGGCACUGGACUCGCCAAGAAAGGGAGAAUGCGCCCAGGAAUUUAGCUGCGCAGUUUUGAAGACCGCAGCGCUUCCUGAGGGUUGUGGGACCUGGAUCCCGUCAUUUUCGGGAUCCAAGCGUCCUCCCCGGAACUGUCGCCCUCCCCCAAAGAGAAGUGUGAGCGACUUCUCUCGGGUCGCAAGCUGGGUUGGGAGAGUUGGGGCUGCUGCGGCGUCCACAACUCCUGCAAAAACUUUCCCUGGGAAUUUCCGGACCUACGAUGUUUCCCCAAGUGCCCUCUGUAGACAGCACUUCAGACCAGCCCCGGGACCAUGACCCGGACCAGGACCGCAGGGAGGAGAGGGCCCUGGGUCAGGGGCCGGGAUCCUAGACUGCCCAUCAGCCACUUCCUCCGGUAGGACAACACCGCGCAGGGUAGCAGGAGCUCGGACGCACCUAGGAGCUAUGGCCUCCCGAGCCGCCGGGUUUGGACCCAGCGUAGCCGCUGCUUUCUGAAGCUGAACGCCCUCCCUGCGCGUCCCAUGCCACUUAUUUCAGGCUGGGCGCCGACAUUUGGUAUCUCUCCCC
This 16428-nucleotide long non-coding RNA is filed under the name Homo sapiens (human). Its description in RNAcentral is "non-protein coding lnc-BNIP2-4:1". The record is from RNAcentral. Lineage: Eukaryota; Metazoa; Chordata; Mammalia; Primates; Hominidae.